This 76-nucleotide transfer RNA is filed under the name Klebsiella phage May. RNAcentral describes it as "tRNA-Met". It matches the Rfam family "tRNA". Rfam says of the family: Transfer RNA (tRNA) molecules are approximately 80 nucleotides in length. Their secondary structure includes four short double-helical elements and three loops (D, anti-codon, and T loops). The record is from RNAcentral. Lineage: Duplodnaviria; Heunggongvirae; Uroviricota; Caudoviricetes; Pantevenvirales; Ackermannviridae. RNAcentral also lists the same sequence under 1 other name.
GGUCCUGUAGCUCAGUGGUAAGAGCAGUCGACUCAUAAUCGAUUGGUCAUUGGUUCAAACCCAAUCAGGAUCACCA